GGGGAUGUAGCUUAGUGGUAAGAGUGCUUGCCUAGUAUUCAAGAAGCCCUGGGUUAAAUCCAAAGUACCCCCU
This is a non-coding RNA of Ictidomys tridecemlineatus (thirteen-lined ground squirrel), 73 nucleotides long. The record is from Rfam. Lineage: Eukaryota; Metazoa; Chordata; Mammalia; Rodentia; Sciuridae.